Corvus hawaiiensis (hawaiian crow) is the source of this 474-nucleotide long non-coding RNA. RefSeq lists it as uncharacterized. NCBI's taxonomy places the organism in Eukaryota, Metazoa, Chordata, Aves, Passeriformes, Corvidae. The record is from RefSeq and is a predicted model, not a curated record. The transcript has 3 exons.
GCAUGGUCAUGGCCCACAGCAUCAGCAUCUGGUGAAGGAGUGGGCAUGCAGCAAAGUGGCUGCAGGAAUUUGUGGCUGCCAGACCCACUUGAAGUGUGCACGGAGAGACAGGACCAGAAAGGAGAAGAAAAAAGAAAGAAUCAAAUAUUGGAGCUGAGGUUCAUGUCACUGCCUCCUCUGAAGACCUGAUUUUGUGGUGCUAAAUCAGUGCAUUUGUCAAGAUGGAAGAAAGUGGAGAAAGGGUGCUUCACAGAAGGUGGAGGACAGGAAGAGAAGCCAGGCCAGGGAGCCCAGGUAUAUGGAAGAGUCUUUGGGAGUCGAUACAAAGGUUUGCAGAAAGAGAAAAGCAGUAUCGACCAAUAUCCAAUAUCUCCUCAUGAAGUGACCUUGGGGAUACAGUAGACUUCAGUGCUGAGGACCAAGAGAUUUAUCAGCCAUCCCACAGGGAAAGGCAAGUUUGAUUUGGCUGCUGGG